RNAcentral lists this ribosomal RNA (524 nucleotides) under uncultured bacterium. RNAcentral describes it as "partial 16S ribosomal RNA". It matches the Rfam family "Bacterial small subunit ribosomal RNA", at positions 28 to 523 of the family's 1533-position model. The record is from RNAcentral.
GACGAACGCUGGCGGCGUGCUUAACACAUGCAAGUCGAACGGACAGACAGAGAGCUUGCUCUCUUGAAGUUAGUGGCGAACGGGUGAGUAACGCGUAAUCAACCUGCCCUUCAGAGGGGGAUAACAACGGGAAACCGUUGCUAAUACCGCGUACGAUUCAUGAACGGCAUCGUUUAUGAAUGAAAGGUGGCCUCUAUGUAUAAGCUAUCGCUGAAGGAGGGGAUUGCGUCUGAUUAGCAAGUUGGAGGGGUAACGGCCCACCAAGGCAAUGAUCAGUAGCCGGUCUGAGAGGAUGAACGGCCACAUUGGGACUGAGACACGGCCCAAACUCCUACGGGAGGCAGCAGUGGGGAAUCUUCCGCAAUGGACGAAAGUCUGACGGAGCAACGCCGCGUGAGUGAUGAAGGUCUUCGGAUUGUAAAGCUCUGUUAAUCGGGACGAAAGAGUUCUGCGUGAAUAAUGUAGAAAAGUGACGGUACCGGAAUAGAAAGCCACGGCUAACUACGUGCCAGCCGCCGCAGUAA